Molecule: long non-coding RNA, 381 nt
Organism: Physella acuta
Lineage: Eukaryota; Metazoa; Mollusca; Gastropoda; Physidae
Source: RefSeq, a predicted model, not a curated record
CAACACUUCAAGGCUUUUCAGUAAAGGUCUAUCUUAGCGCCUCUGCCACUUUAGUUCGAAAAUGAAAGCUGUCGUGAUUGCCUGUCUGCUGUUUACCCUGGCUGUUGUUGUGGCCGACCAAGUUAAUGACGCGCCUGUGGUCAGAGAGUUGCAGGAAUCAAAGAAAGAUGUUCCAGUAGAGACGGCCAGGGCUGACGUGGACCGUAGACAAAUCAAUGAUGGUUGUGUCACUAAGUCAACUUGUUUGUUAAGUCUAGGAUGACCUGGAGAAAAAUCUGGGACUACAAACACAUAUUUGCCAUAAUAAAAAGCAAACUCUUUCCUCAAUGUUAUAACUAGGCAUCAAACUAUGAAAGAAUAAAAAAGUGUAAAAACCAAAAA